UACUUUCUGCUUCUUUUUAUUUUUCUUGAGGCCUCGACCGGAAAUCCUUUCUUCAUCGACGGGCUGCUUGCCUUUUCUUCCUUCUGAGCUGAAGAAAGCGCCGACUGCCUCCUCCCCUGCCGCGUAGUUUGCUACUACGUCCAUCAGCUCGUCGACGGUCUGAGGUCGAUUGCGGCCUAAUUCCCGCACCAAGUCCCGGCUGGUGGUACC
Molecule: long non-coding RNA, 210 nt
Filed under: Sorghum bicolor (sorghum)
Lineage: Eukaryota; Viridiplantae; Streptophyta; Magnoliopsida; Poales; Poaceae
Description: long non-coding RNA (SBIC_LNC004108)
Source: RNAcentral